UCCCUCAUGGUACUUGUUUGCUAUCGGUCUCGAACCAAUAUUUAGCUUGAGAUGAACUUUACCACCCACUUUACGCUCCAAUUCCGAGGAACGCGUCUCUUAGAAGGCGCGCCGUGCACGGGGGACAGCAAAUGACAAACGGGACUCUCACCCUCGUUGAUGCUCUUUUCCAAGAGGCUUACAUCUGCGCCUCCGUUGGCAACGCAUCUCGAGACUACAAUUCAAGGCCGAGGGCCCCAAUUUCCAUGCUGAGCUGAUCCCUGUUCAUUCGCCAUUACUGAGGGAAUCCUAUUUAGUUUCUUAUCCUCCGCUUACUUAUAUGCUUAAAUUCAGCGGGCUUGCUGACCUCACUUCAUGUCUUGGUUGAAGUGCCCCAGAGGCACUGGAUGCGAGAGGACGCCAUCCGCAACGGAGCAACAGACUAGCAUCAGAGAGAGAGACGCUCUUCCAAUUGCUGUUGCGAACGUUCCCUGUGAUCUGAAUGCGUCGGGGGCGCGAGACACCCUAACGCACAAAUACACCGAAGCGGCAAUGGAGGACCAUGCCGCUGGAAUGAGAUGCACUAGACACUGAAGAAGGCAUGCUUUCAGGGAUAUCCCGAAAGCGCAGUAUACGUUCAAGUCCCUAUUGGUUCAC
Molecule: unclassified non-coding RNA, 636 nt
Filed under: uncultured eukaryote
Lineage: Eukaryota
Description: partial contains 5.8S rRNA and ITS2
Source: RNAcentral